RNAcentral lists this ribosomal RNA (460 nucleotides) under uncultured bacterium. Its description in RNAcentral is "partial 16S ribosomal RNA". It matches the Rfam family "Bacterial small subunit ribosomal RNA", at positions 338 to 795 of the family's 1533-position model. The record is from RNAcentral.
CCUACGGGAGGCAGCAGUGAGGAAUAUUGGUCAAUGGACGCAAGUCUGAACCAGCCAUGCCGCGUGCAGGAAGACGGCUCUAUGAGUUGUAAACUGCUUUUGUACGAGGGUAAACGCAGAUACGCGUAUCUGUCUGAAAGUAUCGUACGAAUAAGGAUCGGCUAACUCCGUGCCAGCAGCCGCGGUAAUACGGAGGAUUCAAGCGUUAUCCGGAUUUAUUGGGUUUAAAGGGUGCGUAGGCGGUCGGAUAAGUUAGAGGUGAAAUCCCGAGGCUCAACUUCGGAAUUGCCUCUGAUACUGUUCGGCUUGAGAGUAGUUGCGGUAGGCGGAAUGUAUGGUGUAGCGGUGAAAUGCUUAGAGAUCAUACAGAACACCGAUUGCGAAGGCAGCUUACCAAGCUACUUCUGACGUUGAGGCACGAAAGCGUGGGGAGCAAACAGGAUUAGAUACCCUAGUAGUC